AGUGAACGCUGGCGGUAGGCCUAACACAUGCAAGUCGAACGGCAGCACAGUAAGAGCUUGCUCUUACGGGUGGCGAGUGGCGGACGGGUGAGGAAUACAUCGGAAUCUACUUUUUCGUGGGGGAUAACGUAGGGAAACUUACGCUAAUACCGCAUACGACCUACGGGUGAAAGCAGGGGAUCUUCGGACCUUGCGCGAUUGAAUGAGCCGAUGUCGGAUUAGCUAGUUGGCGGGGUAAAGGCCCACCAAGGCGACGAUCCGUAGCUGGUCUGAGCGGAUGAUCAGCCACACUGGAACUGAGACACGGUCCAGACUCCUACGGGAGGCAGCAGUGGGGAAUAUUGGACAAUGGGCGGAAGCCUGAUCCAGCCAUACCGCGUGGGUGAAGAAGGCCUUCGGGUUGUAAAGCCCUUUUGUUGGGAAAGAAAAGCAGCAGGUUAAUACCCCGCUGUUCUGACGGUACCCAAAGAAUAAGCACCGGCUAACUUCGUG
Molecule: ribosomal RNA, 492 nt
Filed under: uncultured bacterium
Lineage: Bacteria
Description: partial 16S ribosomal RNA
Rfam family: Bacterial small subunit ribosomal RNA
Source: RNAcentral